This 1084-nucleotide long non-coding RNA is filed under the name Homo sapiens (human). RNAcentral's name for it is "long intergenic non-protein coding RNA 2177". The record is from RNAcentral. Lineage: Eukaryota; Metazoa; Chordata; Mammalia; Primates; Hominidae.
ACUGUCUUCGUCUCUCAGGUGGGGGAAAAGGGAUAUAGAAGCAUAUAGUCUAAGCUGGGAGUUAAAAACACUAGGUUAAAAUCCUAGCUUUGCUACUGAAUAGCUGUGUGACCUUAGGCAAUUUACUUAACCUCUCUGAGUCUCUGUAAAAUGGAGGGAAAAAAUGCUUCUCUGGAAGAGUGGUUAAAUACUUGAAAGAGGCAAUGUAACUGUCUUAUGCCUAGAGCAUAGUAGGUGCUUAACAAACAGUAGCUUAUUUCUGGCAUUAUAAUUAGAUGAGGGGAAGGUCCCUCCUAGCACAGACCCUGGAAGAUUCUAUGACUCAGGGAGUGGGCAGAUUGCAUCCAUGGUCCCUGCCCUCAUUUGUAGCUACCUGAAGGGCCUGUCUCAGCAAUAAAAACAGCCAAGUGAGCACAGGCAGAGAAACAUCAUUUCCUCCUCCUCUUGAGGGCAGGAGUCCAGGCGCAGCCCCAGCAGCAGGCCAGAGAAAGAGCAUUGGAUUGGAAUCAGAUAAAACCGGGUUCAAAGCUCAGAGCUCCUACUCAUCAGACUCUCCAAGAUAUGCAGAGCUUUGGGCCAGGAUCCUACAGCCACGGGUCAUGCAGAGCCAGUUGGCCACAUCCUUUGGGCCAAAUUUGGUCCUAACCAGGUCUUACCACGGUAACUGCUAACCAGUCCAUCUUCAGUUAAUAUUUCAUGCAAAACAAUGGGCAAGUCAGCUCAUGAAGAACUUUUCAGAUAUUCAGACUAUUAUUCUGAGAGAGAAAAUAUUGGCAGAGAACAGAUGGGAUUUUUCUCAAGGAAAAGAAAUGGAAAUCCUACAUCUUGCAAGAAAUAGAAAAAAAUAAAUAAACUGUUUGAAGAAGAAUCACAUCAGGCUGGCAGGAGAGAGCCUGCGGCUCGGUGUCUGACCCAGAAUGUUAAAGCCAGCCUGGCUUGGCUCCAGGAUAAAGGACACUCUGUCAGCCUCUCCACAUUGAUUCAUCUCCCCAGCCCCAAGAUCAGGAGAGCAUUCUGUUCCUUGAAGCAUUUUAUGACUGUAAGUCAGAAGUGCUGCAGUUUUAAUAAAAAGCUGUAUUGUCCU